CCCUUAGAUGUCCUGGGCCGCACGCGCGCUACACUGAUGCAUGCAACGAGUUUAUAACCUUGGCCUGAAAGGUCUGGGUAAUCUUUUGAACGUGCAUCGUGAUAGGGAUAGAUUAUUGCAAUUGUUAAUCUUGAACGAGGAAUUCCUAGUAAACGCGAGUCAUCAGCUCGCAUUGAUUACGUCCCUGCCCUUUGUACACACCGCCCGUCGCACCUACCGAUUGAAUGGUUCGGUGAAGAUCUCGGACUUCGAUAUUUAUUCUUUAUUGAGUUUAUAUUGUGGGAAGUUAUCUAAACCUCAUCAUUUAGAGGAAGGUGAANUCGUAACA
RNAcentral lists this ribosomal RNA (328 nucleotides) under uncultured eukaryote. RNAcentral describes it as "partial 18S ribosomal RNA". It matches the Rfam family "Eukaryotic small subunit ribosomal RNA", at positions 1470 to 1796 of the family's 1831-position model. The record is from RNAcentral.